UACAUGUGGGGCAAGCGUUGUUCGGAAUUACUGGGCGUAAAGCGUGCGUAGGCGGUUCUCCAAGUCCGUUGUGAAAGCCCCGGGCUCAACCUGGGAAUGGCAGUGGAAACUAGGGGACUGGAAUCUGGCAGAGGGGGGUGGAAUGCCGCGUGUAGCAGUGAAAUGCGUAGAGAUGCGGCGGAACACCGAUGGCGAAGGCAGCCCCCUGGGCUGAGAUUGACGCUCAGGCACGAAAGCGUGGGGAGCAAACAGG
Molecule: ribosomal RNA, 253 nt
Filed under: uncultured bacterium
Lineage: Bacteria
Description: partial 16S ribosomal RNA
Rfam family: Bacterial small subunit ribosomal RNA
Source: RNAcentral